GACGAACGCUGGCGGCGUGCCUAAUACAUGCAAGUCGAACGCACUCUCGUUUAGAUUGAAGGAGCUUGCUCCUGAUUGAUAAACAUUUGAGUGAGUGGCGGACGGGUGAGUAACACGUGGGUAACCUGCCCUAAAGUGGGGGAUAACAUUUGGAAACAGAUGCUAAUACCGCAUAAAACCUAACACCGCAUGGUGUAGGGUUGAAAGAUGGUUUCGGCUAUCACUUUAGGAUGGACCCGCGGUGCAUUAGUUAGUUGGUGAGGUAAAGGCUCACCAAGACCGUGAUGCAUAGCCGACCUGAGAGGGUAAUCGGCCACACUGGGACUGAGACACGGCCCAGACUCCUACGGGAGGCAGCAGUAGGGAAUCUUCCACAAUGGACGAAAGUCUGAUGGAGCAACGCCGCGUGAGUGAAGAAGGUUUUCGGAUCGAAUAAC
RNAcentral lists this ribosomal RNA (437 nucleotides) under uncultured bacterium. Its description in RNAcentral is "bacterial SSU rRNA". It matches the Rfam family "Bacterial small subunit ribosomal RNA", at positions 28 to 431 of the family's 1533-position model. The record is from RNAcentral.